AUACAUAGCAUAUCAGAAGGCACACCCGGAGAACUGAAACAUCUUAGUACCCGGAGGAAGAGAAAGAAAAUUCGAUUCCCUUAGUAGCGGCGAGCGAAACGGGAAGAGCCCAAACCAACAAGCUUGCUUGUUGGGGUUGUAGGACACUCUAUACGGAGUUACAAAGGACGACAUUAGACGAAUCAUCUGGAAAGAUGAAUCAAAGAAGGUAAUA
This 214-nucleotide ribosomal RNA is filed under the name Staphylococcus aureus. Its description in RNAcentral is "partial 23S ribosomal RNA". It matches the Rfam family "Bacterial large subunit ribosomal RNA", at positions 162 to 369 of the family's 2925-position model. The record is from RNAcentral. Lineage: Bacteria; Bacillati; Bacillota; Bacilli; Caryophanales; Staphylococcaceae.